Long non-coding RNA from Rhineura floridana, 1252 nucleotides. RefSeq lists it as uncharacterized. Lineage: Eukaryota; Metazoa; Chordata; Lepidosauria; Squamata; Rhineuridae. The record is from RefSeq and is a predicted model, not a curated record. The transcript has 3 exons.
AGCAGACUCUUCCUGGGCCACGCCCCACCUCAGCCUGCCUAAUCACACAGAGCUUCAAUGACUUGGAGAAGACUGAAGGCCCCAGGCAAGAACUAGGCUGUGCCACCUUAUACGUCACACACCCUCCUCACAGUCUGUGCUGACAUAACACAACUACCCCACCCACCCAUUCUGGUUCUUUGCUCAGGAUCUCAAGGCCUUGGCGAGGGGGAAACUGUCUCCUCCACUGUUGUACCAUCUGCAGCAUCUGUGCCUAGGCCACAAGCCAGCGCUAAGAAUGGUCUCCAAGCAACAACAACAAAAAUCCCUCUUAGGGGUUAAGAAAAGGAAUGUGUGGUGCAGAAAUCCUUAAGCCUUAUUGAGGCAGUAAGUCAGUUUGAAGCUUCAAAGAGAUUUUGCAACUGGUCGGCAGAUCCACCCGUUCCCUCUCCAGGUGUGGCUAAUGGAAACACUUUCAUCUAGCAACUAGUGUGUUCACAGCCCAAGUCUCACACAGCCUAACCCAGCACUGCAACAUGAAGGCAACUAACUAGUCUGUUCCAAUCUCAAGCCCUUUGGAUGGUCUUUUGCUUCCUCCACAUUUCCGCAACUGACAUAUACAUAAUUUGUGCUGCCAUAACAAAUUUAAGUAAAGGAGGAAGAAAAACGUAUCACAGGAAAACCACACCUUUGGAGUCACAAAGCAGCUCAUUGACCUGCUAUUCUUGUAUAGUACAUAAACACAGAGGUGUAGUACCUCUCUAGGACUUUGACAAUUGCUGUCCAAAGUCACACUGGUGUUAUAACCACUUUGCAAAGUUCUACAAAGCUGGGAAGUUCAAGGCUGAUAGACUUCCGAUACUACAAGAAGUCAAGUUAAGAGCUAUGUAGCUAACAGGGUAAUAGCAGCCUGGGUAGGAGUCCUCCUACAGAUACCCGUGGAUAAUUAACAGUAGUAGACACUCAAGAGCUGGUUAACACUAGGUACAGGACAAAUUUGGCUGGGAAUUAGUUAAAGGAAAUGCUCCAAGGUAGAAGGCCCAGGAACAAAGUGACAAAAAUAUGAAAGAAACAUCAGCAUUGUUGGUGGAGACGUCAAAAGACUUUGCCUGGCUUAUCAGUGAUGCUUUUUAAAAAAAUGUCCAUUGACCUGUAGGUAGUCUGCGCAACAGGGGGCUCUGUGGUCUCAGCAUCUCUACUGAGGUCGGGGGAAGACUCUAGUCUAAACUGUAGGAAAGACUUUUGACACUUUGUGUCAUCAACAUUUAAGAGA